GGAGGUAUAGCUCAGUGAUAGAGUGAUGCCUAGCAUGCACGAGGUCCUGGAUUCAAUCCCCAGCACCUCCA
RNAcentral lists this transfer RNA (71 nucleotides) under Camelus bactrianus (Bactrian camel). It matches the Rfam family "tRNA". Rfam says of the family: Transfer RNA (tRNA) molecules are approximately 80 nucleotides in length. Their secondary structure includes four short double-helical elements and three loops (D, anti-codon, and T loops). The record is from Rfam by way of RNAcentral. Lineage: Eukaryota; Metazoa; Chordata; Mammalia; Artiodactyla; Camelidae. RNAcentral also lists the same sequence under 2 other names.